UACAGAGUUCCUGCCCUCACGGGUAGAAACCCCACCCUUGUGUAUACUAUAUUGUUGCUUUAGCAGGCCGCCUUUGGGCGUCGGCUCACGCUGACCGUGCCUGCUAGAGGACCCUAAACUUUGAAAUACAGUGUCGUCUGAGUACUAUUCAAUAGUUAAAACUUUCAACAACGGAUCUCUUGGUUCUGGCAUCGAUGAAGAACGCAGCGAAAUGCGAUAAGUAAUGUGAAUUGCAGAAUUCAGUGAAUCAUCGAAUCUUUGAACGCACAUUGCGCCCCUUGGUAUUCCGAGGGGCAUGCCUGUUCGAGCGUCAUUUAUACCAACUCCUCUGCAAAGAGGGUCUUGGACUUCGCCUCUGGGCGGGUCUCAAAAUCAGUGGCGGUGCCUUGAGGCUCUACGCGUAGUAAUACACCCCGCGAUAGAACCCUUAGGGUAUCUUGCCAGCAACCCCCAACUUCUUAGGUUGA
Molecule: ribosomal RNA, 467 nt
Filed under: Hymenoscyphus cf. menthae 75934
Lineage: Eukaryota; Fungi; Ascomycota; Leotiomycetes; Helotiales; Helotiaceae
Description: partial ribosomal RNA
Rfam family: 5.8S ribosomal RNA (bases 160-313)
Source: RNAcentral